RNAcentral lists this ribosomal RNA (468 nucleotides) under uncultured bacterium. Its description in RNAcentral is "partial 16S ribosomal RNA". It matches the Rfam family "Bacterial small subunit ribosomal RNA", at positions 28 to 507 of the family's 1533-position model. The record is from RNAcentral.
GACGAACGCUGGCGGCGUGCUUAACACAUGCAAGUCGAACGGAAAGGCCCUGCUUUUGUGGGGUGCUCGAGUGGCGAACGGGUGAGUAACACGUCAGUAACCUGCCCUUGACUUUGGGAUAACUUCCGGAAACUGGGGCUAAUACCGGAUAGGAGCUCCUGCUGCAUGGUGGGGGUUGGAAAGUUUCGGCGGUUGGGGAUGGACUCGCGGCUUAUCAGCUUGUUGGUGGGGGAGUGGCUUACCAAGGCAUUGACGGGUAGCCGGCCUGAGAGGGUGACCGGCCACAUGGGGACUGAGAGACGGCGCAGUGUCCUACGGGAGGCAGCAGGGGGGAAUAUGGCACAAUGGGCGGAAGCCUGAUGCGGCAACGCCGCGGGCGGGAUGACGGCCUGCGGGUCGUAAACCGCUUGCGCCUGUGACGAAGCGUGAGUGACGGUAAUGGGUAAAGAAGCACCGGCUAACUACGUG